GGGGGACAAAGUGACAGGUGGUGCAUGGUUGUCGUCAGCUCGUGUCGUGAGAUGUUGGGUUAAGUCCCGCAACGAGCGCAACCCUUAAGCUUAGUUGCCAUCAUUAAGUUGGGCACUCUAAGUUGACUGCCGGUGACAAACCGGAGGAAGGUGGGGAUGACGUCAAAUCAUCAUGCCCCUUAUGAUUUGGGCUACACACGUGCUACAAUGGACAAUACAAAGGGCAGCUAAACCGCGAGGUCAAGCAAAUCCCAUAAAGUUGUUCUCAGUUCGGAUUGUAGUCUGCAACUCGACUACAUGAAGCUGGAAUCGCUAGUAAUCGUAGAUCAGCAUGCUACGGUGAAUACGUUCCCGGGUCUUGUACACACCGCCCGUCACACCACGAGAGUUUGUAACACCCGAAGCCGG
This 408-nucleotide ribosomal RNA is filed under the name Staphylococcus sp. RNAcentral's name for it is "bacterial SSU rRNA". It matches the Rfam family "Bacterial small subunit ribosomal RNA", at positions 1021 to 1430 of the family's 1533-position model. The record is from RNAcentral. Lineage: Bacteria; Bacillati; Bacillota; Bacilli; Caryophanales; Staphylococcaceae.